GCCGCGAAUUCACUAGUGAUUGAGUUUGAUCAUGGCUCAGGAUGAACGCUAGCGGCAGGCCUAACACAUGCAAGUCGAGGGGUAGAACACUUCGGUGUUUGAGACCGGCGCACGGGUGCGUAACGCGUAUGCAAUCUACCUUGUACAGGGGAAUAGCCCAGAGAAAUUUGGAUUAAUGCCCCAUAGUAUAUAACCUUCGCAUGUUGGUUAUAUUAAAGUUCCAACGGUACAAGAUGAGCAUGCGUCCCAUUAGUUAGUUGGUAAGGUAACGGCUUACCAAGACGAUGAUGGGUAGGGGUCCUGAGAGGGAGAUCCCCCACACUGGUACUGAGACACGGACCAGACUCCUACGGGAGGCAGCAGUGAGGAAUAUUGGUCAAUGGUCGCAAGACUGAACCAGCCAUGCCGCGUGCAGGAAGACGGUCCUAUGGAUUGUAAACUGCUUUUAUACAGGAAGAAACCCUCCCACGUGUGGGAGCUUGACGGUACUGUAGGAAUAAGGAUCGGCUAACUCCGUGCCAGCAGCCGCGGUAAUACGGAGGAUCCAAGCGUUAUCCGGAAUCAUUGGGUUUAAAGGGUCCGUAGGCGGUCUUAUAAGUCAGUGGUGAAAGCCCAUCGCUCAACGAUGGAACUGCCAUUG
Molecule: ribosomal RNA, 640 nt
Filed under: uncultured Bacteroidota bacterium
Lineage: Bacteria; Pseudomonadati; Bacteroidota
Description: uncultured Bacteroidetes bacterium partial 16S ribosomal RNA
Rfam family: Bacterial small subunit ribosomal RNA
Source: RNAcentral